AGUCGAGCGGACAGAUGGGAGCUUGCUCCCUGAUGUUAGCGGCGGACGGGUGAGUAACACGUGGGUAACCUGCCUGUAAGACUGGGAUAACUCCGGGAAACCGGGGCUAAUACCGGAUGCUUGUUUGAACCGCAUGGUUCAAACAUAAAAGGUGGCUUCGGCUACCACUUACAGAUGGACCCGCGGCGCAUUAGCUAGUUGGUGAGGUAACGGCUCACCAAGGCGACGAUGCGUAGCCGACCUGAGAGGGUGAUCGGCCACACUGGGACUGAGACACGGCCCAGACUCCUACGGGAGGCAGCAGUAGGGAAUCUUCCGCAAUGGACGAAAGUCUGACGGAGCAACGCCGCGUGAGUGAUGAAGGUUUUCGGAUCGUAAAGCUCUGUUGUUAGGGAAGAACAAGUGCCGUUCAAAUAGGGCGGCACCUUGACGGUACCUAACCAGAAAGCCACGGCUAACUACGUGCCAGCAGCCGCGGUAAUACGUAGGUGGCAAGCGUUGUCCGGAAUUAUUGGGCGUAAAGGGCUCGCAGGCGGUUUCUUAAGUCUGAUGUGAAAGCCCCCGGCUCAACCGGGGAGGGUCAUUGGAAACUGGGGGAACUUGAGUGCAGAAGAGGAGAGUGGAAUUCCACGUGUAGCGGUGAAAUGCGUAGAGAUGUGGAGGAACACCAGUGGCGAAGGCGACUCUCUGGUCUGUAACUGACGCUG
RNAcentral lists this ribosomal RNA (707 nucleotides) under Bacillus amyloliquefaciens. RNAcentral's name for it is "bacterial SSU rRNA". It matches the Rfam family "Bacterial small subunit ribosomal RNA", at positions 60 to 748 of the family's 1533-position model. The record is from RNAcentral. Lineage: Bacteria; Bacillati; Bacillota; Bacilli; Caryophanales; Bacillaceae.